CUACGGGUUGCAGCAGCUUAGAAUUCUUUACAAUGCACGGAAGUGUGAUAAGGGGACCCCAAGUGCUUUACUUCGGUAAGGCUUUUUUUAAGUGUAAAUAGCUUAAAGAAUAAGUGAUGGGUAAGACCGGUGCCAGCCGCCGCGGUAACACCGGCGUCACAAGUGGUGACCACAUUUAUUGGGCCUAAAGCGUUAGUAGCCGGUUUAGUAAAUCUUUUGUGAAAUUGAUGGGCUUAACCUAUCAACGUGCAAGAGACACUGUUAAACUCGGGACCGGGAGGAGAUAGGAGUAUUCUUGGGGGAGCGGUAAAAUGCUAUAAUCCCAAGAGGACUACCUGUGGCGAAGGCGCCUAUCUAGAACGGGUCCGACGGUGAGUAACGAAAGCUAGGGGAGCGAUCUGGAUUAGAUACCCUGGUAGUC
RNAcentral lists this ribosomal RNA (421 nucleotides) under uncultured archaeon. RNAcentral's name for it is "partial 16S ribosomal RNA". It matches the Rfam family "Archaeal small subunit ribosomal RNA", at positions 323 to 746 of the family's 1478-position model. The record is from RNAcentral.